ACUUCCACCUGGCUUACCUCCUCAGUAAUGUCUCAAGGCUUGUAUUUGCUUGUAGUGUGUUUUGGGUUUCUUGUGUUUAAUACCUAAAUGAUGGCAUUGUAGUGCUUGACUAAUGUCCCUUUUUGUUGUGUGUUGCCUUUGUGAUGCUCGAUGAACGUUGAAGUUGUCUUUAUGUUCCAUUUUGUUGAUGCAAAUGAUGCCAUUGUGUUUCAUUUGUAUUGAUCGUUUGGCCUAUUGAGAUCUGCUUGGUCACUUGAAUACAGAAAAUGAUGUGGCUUUUAAGUUCCUUGGUGAACUUUGUUUUGCCUUUUUGGCUAUUCUCUAAAUGACGGUUCAUGCACGUCUAGGCUUGUACCUGCGUGAUGUUCAAUGUCAAAGAGGAAUGC
RNAcentral lists this unclassified non-coding RNA (386 nucleotides) under Barkleyanthus salicifolius. RNAcentral's name for it is "partial external transcribed spacer". The record is from RNAcentral. Lineage: Eukaryota; Viridiplantae; Streptophyta; Magnoliopsida; Asterales; Asteraceae.